This 275-nucleotide ribosomal RNA is filed under the name uncultured bacterium. Its description in RNAcentral is "partial 16S ribosomal RNA". It matches the Rfam family "Bacterial small subunit ribosomal RNA", at positions 354 to 623 of the family's 1533-position model. The record is from RNAcentral.
GUGGGGAAUAUUGCACAAUGGGCGCAAGCCUGAUGCAGCCAUGCCGCGUGUGUGAAGAAGGCCUUCGGGUUGUAAAGCACUUUCAGCGAGGAGGAAGGGUUCAGUGUUAAUAGCACUGUUCAUUGACGUUACUCGCAGAAGAAGCACCGGCUAACUCCGUGCCAGCAGCCGCGGUAAUACGGAGGGUGCAAGCGUUAAUCGGAAUUACUGGGCGUAAAGCGCACGCAGGCGGUUUGUUAAGUCAGAUGUGAAAUCCCGCGCUUAACGUGGAACUG